RNAcentral lists this long non-coding RNA (802 nucleotides) under Anas platyrhynchos platyrhynchos (common mallard). Its description in RNAcentral is "lncRNA (ENSAPLG00000024583.1)". Lineage: Eukaryota; Metazoa; Chordata; Aves; Anseriformes; Anatidae. The record is from RNAcentral.
UGUUGAGUGCUUGUUUACUUUAGUAGAGCAGGCUGUAAGCUAUGGUUCCUCUAGGGCUGUUUUACACAAAGUUCAGCUUUCCCAGCCAUAGAAACAACUACUAGGACAGGACAAAGAGCAGAAUUAAGUUAUUGCCCAUUUUAGUUCCACCCAAAUUCUUGAGAGGGAUCAGACAAUAAGGCAGCAAAGUUCAAGACAAAUCCUUUAGCAACAGUAGAAGUCCUGCUAAGGAUAUCCUGUGUUUGAAAGAUAAUUCCAGUUAAAAUGUUUCAAACCAUUCAUAUAUUUAUAAAUUAAUGCUAUAAUAAUGAAAAUAGUUACUCUUUUUUUUUUUUUCCCCACUUACCAUAUGUUUUACAGACAUAACUUUAUAUUAGUCAUUUAGUAUAGAGGCAUCUAAACAGUAAGUGAAACAGCUACCUUAUUUUACAGAUUUCUUUGUUUUCUAAGUGGCAUUAUGAAAUUAAAAAAAAAAUAAGUAAGAAAGAAAGAAAGAAAAAAGCAACACCCAACAACGCACCUUUAAUAGAUAGCUUAUUAGCUUCAUCUGCUUGAUAAGACGAAAAAGGACAGGUGAGAGAAAUGAGUUCAGCUGUGCCUUGUUUGGAAAAGAAGGGAUUGGAUGUUGCAGCCUUCAUUGAGAAGAGGUGGCUUCUUAAGACAAAUGUUUGGUUAUUAUAAAAAGGUAGUGUUGCUUACUGAAGGAAGGUUGGAGAUUUUGUUGGGUUUUAAUUGCAUCAUUUUUUUAUUUUUUUUCUUUGUAUGGGUGCUAAAGGUACUGAGGCACAAUGAAGUAAAAUAA